GUCCCAGUAGCUCAGCUGGAUAGAGCAACGGCCUUCUAAGCCGUAGGUCGCAGGUUCGAAUCCUGCCUGGGACG
Molecule: transfer RNA, 74 nt
Filed under: Texcoconibacillus texcoconensis
Lineage: Bacteria; Bacillati; Bacillota; Bacilli; Caryophanales; Bacillaceae
Also listed under: 1 other name
Rfam family: tRNA
About the family: Transfer RNA (tRNA) molecules are approximately 80 nucleotides in length. Their secondary structure includes four short double-helical elements and three loops (D, anti-codon, and T loops). Further hydrogen bonds mediate the characteristic L-shaped molecular structure. tRNAs have two regions of fundamental functional importance: the anti-codon, which is responsible for specific mRNA codon recognition, and the 3' end, to which the tRNAs corresponding amino acid is attached (by aminoacyl-tRNA synthetases). tRNAs cope with the degeneracy of the genetic code in two manners: having more than one tRNA (with a specific anti-codon) for a particular amino acid; and 'wobble' base-pairing, i.e. permitting non-standard base-pairing at the 3rd anti-codon position.
Source: Rfam by way of RNAcentral